AUUGAACGCUGGCGGCAGGCCUAACACAUGCAAGUCGAGCGAGCGGCGGACGGGUGAGUAAUGUAUGGGGACUGCCCGAUAGAGGGGGAUAACUACUGGAAACGGUGGCUAAUACCGCAUACUAUCGGAUAACCCAUAUGGGAUUAGCGAGUAGGGGGGUGAAAGGCUCACCUAGGCGACGAUCUCUAACUGGUCUGAGAGGAUGAUCAGCCACAUGGGGACGGAUACACGGCCCAGACUCCUACGGAGGCAGCAGUGGGUAAUAGUCCACAAUGGGCGCAAGCCUGAUGCAGCCAUGCCGCGUGUAUGAAGAAGGCCUUAGGGUUGUAAAGUACGUUCAGCGGGGAUGCGUUACCCGCAGAAGAAGCACCGGCUAACUCCGUGCCAGCAGCCGCGGUAAUAC
Molecule: ribosomal RNA, 403 nt
Filed under: uncultured bacterium
Lineage: Bacteria
Description: partial 16S ribosomal RNA
Rfam family: Bacterial small subunit ribosomal RNA
Source: RNAcentral